UACGUAGGUGGCAAGCGUUGUCCGGAUUUACUGGGCGUGAAGGGCGUGCAGGCGGUCUGUUAAGUGCAGGGUGAAAGCUCCCGGCUCAACUGGGAGAGGUCCUUGCAUACUGGCGGACUUGAGGGGGGUAGAGGAAAGUGGAAUUCCCGGUGUAGUGGUGAUAUGCGUAGAUAUCGGGAGGAACACCUGUGGCGAAGGCGGCUUUCUGGGCCCUACCUGACGCUGAGACGCGAAAGCGUGGGGAGCGAACCGG
RNAcentral lists this ribosomal RNA (253 nucleotides) under uncultured bacterium. Its description in RNAcentral is "partial 16S ribosomal RNA". It matches the Rfam family "Bacterial small subunit ribosomal RNA", at positions 524 to 776 of the family's 1533-position model. The record is from RNAcentral.